This 146-nucleotide unclassified non-coding RNA is filed under the name soil metagenome. RNAcentral describes it as "partial internal transcribed spacer 1". The record is from RNAcentral.
CCGAGUUUACAACUCCCAAACCCUGUGAACAUACCACUUGUUGCCUCGGCGGAUCAGCCCGCUCCCGGUAAAACGGACGGCCCGCCAGAGGACCCCUAAACUCUGUUUCUAUAUGUAACUUCUGAGUAAAACCAUAAAUUAAAUCA